AUUGAACGCUGGCGGCAUGCUUUACACAUGCAAGUCGAACGGUAACAGGGUGCUUGCACCGCUGACGAGUGGCGAACGGGUGAGUAAUGCGUCGGAACGUGCCGAGUAGUGGGGGAUAACGCAGCGAAAGUUGUGCUAAUACCGCAUACGUACUGAGGUAGAAAGUGGGGGACCUUCGGGCCUCACGCUAUUCGAGCGGCCGACGUCUGAUUAGCUAGUAGGUGAGGUAAAGGCUCACCUAGGCGACGAUCAGUAGCGGGUCUGAGAGGAUGAUCAGUCACACUGGAACUGAGACACGGUCCAGACUCCUACGGGAGGCAGCAGUGGGGAAUAUUGGACAAUGGGCGAAAGCCUGAUCCAGCCAUGCCGCGUGUGUGAAGAAGGUCUUCGGAUUGUAAAGCACUUUAAGUUGGGAGGAAGGGUCGUUACCUAAUACGUGACGAUUUUGACGUUACCGACAGAAUAAGCACCGGCUAACUCUGUGCCAGCCGCCGCAGUAA
This 500-nucleotide ribosomal RNA is filed under the name uncultured bacterium. RNAcentral's name for it is "partial 16S ribosomal RNA". It matches the Rfam family "Bacterial small subunit ribosomal RNA", at positions 30 to 523 of the family's 1533-position model. The record is from RNAcentral.